Molecule: unclassified non-coding RNA, 353 nt
Filed under: soil metagenome
Description: partial contains 5.8S ribosomal RNA, internal transcribed spacer 2, and large subunit ribosomal RNA
Rfam family: 5.8S ribosomal RNA (bases 1-120)
Source: RNAcentral
GAUGAAGAACGUAGCGAAAUGCGAUAAGUAAUGUGAAUUGCAGAAUUCAGUGAAUCAUCGAAUCUUUGAACGCACAUUGCGCCCGCCAGUAUUCUGGCGGGCAUGCCUGUCCGAGCGUCAUUUCAACCCUCGAACCCCUCCGGGGGGUCGGCGUUGGGGAUCGGCCCUUUCACCGGGUGCCGUCCCCCAAAUACAGUGGCGGUCUCGCCGCAGCCUCUCAUGCGCAGUAGUUUGCACACUCGCACCGGGAGCGCGGCGCGUCCACGUCCGUAAAACACCCCAAACUUCUGAAAUGUUGACCUCGGAUCAGGUAGGAAUACCCGCUGAACUUAAGCAUAUCAACAAGCGGAGGA